UACGGAGGGUGCAAGCGUUAUCCGGAUUUACUGGGUUUAAAGGGUGCGUAGGUGGGUUGGUAAGUCAGUGGUGAAAUACUUUCGCUUAACGAAGGAACUGCCAUUGAUACUAUCAAUCUUGAAUGUAGUGGAGGUAGGCGGAAUGCGUCAUGUAGCGGUGAAAUGCUUAGAUAUGACGCAGAACACCAAUUGCGAAGGCAGCUUGCUCCACUACUAUUGACACUGAGGCACGAAAGCGUGGGGAUCAAACAGG
This 253-nucleotide ribosomal RNA is filed under the name uncultured bacterium. RNAcentral describes it as "partial 16S ribosomal RNA". It matches the Rfam family "Bacterial small subunit ribosomal RNA", at positions 524 to 776 of the family's 1533-position model. The record is from RNAcentral.